GCCUCCAUAGUUAAAUGGAUAUAAUGCAAGCUUCCGGAGCUUGAGUUGGGAGUUCGAUUCUUCCUGGGGGCACAA
Molecule: transfer RNA, 75 nt
Filed under: Patescibacteria group bacterium
Lineage: Bacteria
Description: tRNA-Arg
Rfam family: tRNA
About the family: Transfer RNA (tRNA) molecules are approximately 80 nucleotides in length. Their secondary structure includes four short double-helical elements and three loops (D, anti-codon, and T loops).
Source: RNAcentral